CCUUUUCAGACCCAAACCUUUACUGAGGUAAAGAAGACGAAGUCAGGAAAAUGGAAAGGACCCACAGUGUGAACAAAGGAAGGAAUGAGGAGUCACUGGAACUGAGCUGAAACUGAAACUGAAAAGAGAAGGAGGUCCUUGGUUUACGAUGUCGUCGACCUCCGGCGUGUCGUGAUUCCGUCGCUGUGUUACUGCUGUGGUAGAGAAGGGAAAAUGCUUCUCCCAUGUUUCUGAGCCGGUCUGUUCCAGCCAAAACUGGCGAUGGAAGUGUAAAGGACACCGCAGGCUCCAAUCUUAGCAUCAGACGUAAGUCCGCAGGGAGGACUUAAAGUGACCCGCACCAGUAUUCCGUCUUUCCCCGAGUCCUCACCAACUCAGACCCUGAGGAGCUGGACCUGACUUUGACCGUGGACUUCAGACGUCUCUCAAAGAAAUCCUAGCCCGUUGGUGUGCGGAAUCCGGAGCGUGCUGUUUUUCUUUGCCGCGCGAUAGAGACGUGGGACGACAACCAAACGCCUGCCUGUCUUCACUGCCACUACUCCACCGCUGCUGCCACCUUGAAUUGGCUUGUGAGAACAGCUACAGGAGCUCUGAUCCAGAGGUUUGGACAGACGCCAUCACGGUUGCUUAUCCAGCCACAUCCUCCACGCUGCUCUGCAGUGCACCUGGGGAGAGCCAAGAGCACACUGGGAGGAUUCCCAUUGUGUGUGUGAAUGUGUGUCCAGCGUGAUAUAGGACCCACAUAUGUAUGUAACAUAUAUACAGUACACAGCAGGUAUAUGAGUCAAAGGUGUCUCCUAGUAUACCAGGAUAUUUGACUAAAAUGACUUGAUGUCCUGAUUUGUUUUUCUCUUAUUUCACUCUUUUACAACAUAAAUAUGAAUAUUUUAGAAGUUAUACCUCAUAUGGAUCACACCCAUAAUAAUAAUAAAAAAAUAGAACAUUUUUCAGAGGGUUAGUCUGCUCCAACAGUACUGCGAGUCCCAUUAAGGAUUUGGUGUCUAUAAAGGGAAGAGUGCUCCCUACUGGUGUAACAGCUGCCUCGAUUGCACUUUCUGCAGCUCUUAUCUGUCUCAUCCGUUUUAUAGACUGCACGGAGCUCAUUAUCUCACAAUUAAACCCUACUGAUUGUAUCGUUUGUCUGCUAGGAAGUCUGCAAAGUAGGGCUCUCUGAUUUUUCUGUUUUUUGGGAAUUUUUACUUUGAAGCAGUUGUGACUCCUACAGAAAAAAGAUGAUGACCAGAGAAAACUCUGAGUCAAAGAUCUGGGAUAAAAAGAUUUAAAGCUUUUUUUUAAAACUGACAUAACCUUUUUUUAUUAGAAUUGUAUGAAUAUUUUUAUAGCUUUGUGUAAAGUUGUGUUAAAACAGAACUCCAGGUUUGAAGAACUAAACAUGUGACUGGUCCCAAAAUAGAUCAGGUGAAGAAGGCGAAUUAUGAACCAUCAUCACUUUUCUGAUGUGGCCAUCAAAAUACUUUCCUCUAUUUUGGAAUUUAAUUUCAGAAUUAAUCAUUUGAGAUGUACAAUGGACACCACACAUUUAAUUUUCCAAGAAGUUAUAUCAAAUUUAAUCAAAUCUAAUCUAACCUAAAGCCUUUUAAUGUUAAUGUCUUGUAACAGCAAAGUUAGUAAAGAUGUUUUUGUUACUUUUAAAGCUCUUAAUGACAGGAAGUAGUUGUCAACUGGGGUUUUUCUUAUUAAACUAAAAGGCUUUAUUUAUUAGUUUCUCCAGGUUUAUAGUCAUUGCGAGGCUUGUGUUUGAAUGUGAAGUACGGCAGGGAGACUUCACAGCUGACAAUAGUAAGAGUGCCUUUCUCCACGGCGCUGCUGCAGACCUGAGUAUUCCCGUGGAGUGACAGAUUUUGGUGAAGUUAUUCGUUGCUGUCGUAGCCCAGCCUCAGACAGCGUUCUCCUCCUCCACCCAGCUGUAGCGCUAAGCUAACCUUCACAGUUCCAUGAAGUUUCUUCACGGUUGACAAGCUCCUCCAGCACAACUGUUGUCCCUGUGCUUUUCCCCCUAACAAGUUCAAAAUAAUGCAAAUGCUUCCACACAGUGACGCUCGCCCGUUCUGUCUCUCCCACCAAGUCAACUGCCACACAGUGUGUGUUUCAGCUGCAGCGUUUGUGCCAGGUCUGACUGCCUGGAUCUGACUGCCUGGAUCUGCUCAGGUAUUUAGGAAAAUGGAGACAGUGUGAAUUCUAGCAGGUUUUCUUCUGAGAUACAGAUUAUUACAAAAACAAUAUUAUUAAUAUAUCAACAAUCAAAUCAAAUUUGAAGGUCUAGUGUGUAAGUUAAUUUAAAUAAAUAUGAUUAUGUUAGCUGUUAUUUCUGACCCUUUUCCAGAUAUUUUCUGGCUAGUUUGACUCCCAGAAUAUUGGCAGUCUCGUGUUAUUUGCUAGUCCAAACACCUUCAUGUUAUCUUUAAUUCAAUUCUUUUAAGAGCAAAACUAAAAACUAAGCCUUUUGCCUUGGGAAGUUCUAGUGUUGUUAAAACUCCUCUGUCUUUCCAAAGAAAAACCCAAGUUUCAACAACUUUGGCCAAAACAAUUGAUAACCUUGAUAUCACUUAAAAAUAGGUGAAGAAAUGAAUUAAAUUUACAGAAGAAAAAAAACAUUAUAAGAGCUAUAUCAGUCUGGAUUACACAUACAGUUUCACCCAUGUGACCCUAACAAAUGUGCUACAGAAUACCUAGCUCAGCAGCAGCUCUUUGAUCAAUGUUUAGACGCCAGGAACCCAAACUCAUGGACAUUCCUCACUCCUGGGUCGCAGGGUCAGGGGUCAAUCCUAACUAAAAAAAUUAGUCAGCAAGUUCACCGCAGUCUCCGCUUGGAUCCAAACAGCCGGGUCUGUGUGGCUGCUCUGGUUCCUCCUGCACUAAUGAACACAGCUGCACCAGACUCUGCCUCUCUGUCAUGGAGAACGGGGAACGUGCUGUAUCUUUUUCACUGUAAUGAACAUAAUAAGGUCUCCUCCAUAUUUUACAGCAAUGUUGCUAUUUCAAAACCAGCCCCAGAUGUUUGGGGUUUUUUCACAUUGCAUGAAAUGUCCUAAUCAAGUUCAACACAGGAGGGAAAACAAUCCAUCGGAGAAAUGUGGCAGUGUUUCUGAUGACACAUUUAGAACAUGGAAACACAUACUGCAGAUCCGAACACUGGUGCUCUAGAAAAUAUGUUGUAUACAUCUGAAAGAGGAACAGGUAUUUGUGGGUUUGUGUGUGUGUGAAAUUGUGUUUUAAAAUUUCUCUCAAAAUGUGUUGUUGUUUUUUUUGCUUUUAGACUGUGUACAGGAGCAGGUCUGCUCCAGGCUACACUGCAGCAGGCUCAUCAGCAGCCGUGGAGGAAGACUCUCUGUGGCCCACAGAGUCGAAGCAACAAGCGUCAGAUCACAGACUUAGUGGACCAGAGCAUCCAAAUCACCUCACACUGUUCUGUGGUGACAGCUGACAACUGCUACAUCCUGGUGUGUGGCUUCUGGGACAAGAGCUUUGGAGUGUACUCCUCAGAGACAGACUCCGGUGUGAUUUCUGCUGCUACAGUACAUGGUUCUCUCCUGAUACUGACUGUCUGUUUCCACAACAGUCCAUCUGUGCAGUCACUGUCAUUCGAGAUUUUAAGUGUGGCUUAGUGGUGAGAGCACUCUAAUUAACUUCACUAAGGCUCAAACAGUUAAUUAAGGCUUUCAGCUUGGUCGCCUCCAAUUAGCAAAGGUGCAACAGCCAGUGUGUUACUGCAGCAGGGACUCAAACAGAACUGCCCUGGUUCUCACACAUCCAGGGACUGACUGUGGACAAAAGGAAAAAAGGAACGCACUGAGCAGAAAUACACACCUCCCUGGUCUUCUUUCUACUAAUAUGGCAGCUGUCAUGAGAAACAAAUGAAAUGAACUGAAUUCAUCCACUAAACCAAAGCCCAAACUAAUGCACAAUGUCCUGAACAUGUCUUUGUAGUGAUUCCCAAAUUAAAAAUGUAGUUGUCAUCCACAUAAAACAAAUAUUUGUUUGCUUUACUUUCUAUUAUCCUUUUUUUUUAAUUUAACUAUUGUACUUAAUCUUUUCAACUUACCUUAAUAUUUAUUUUAUUUCAAUGUUGUUUUUUUCAGUUUUUAGGUAAUGAUGGGGGUUUUUGACUUCAUUACAUGUUCCAGUCUUCUGUUUUUAUCCAUUUCUUUUAUUUUCAUAUUGUUCACUAAAUGUCUAUUUCUAAGUCACAGAUAUUGAUUAAUAAUUUACAUUGGCUCUUGUUCACAUCUGCUGUUUGUGUGGUUGAUUGCUUGCUAUUUUUUCCUUAAAUCCCCAUAUUUGUUGGGUCUGUCUGUUCCUGCUGGUUAAUCGGUGUCACCACACUCACCUGUGUCUCUGUUGUUAGUCUCACUGGUGCCACCUGGUGCCCUGGGUAUAUAUAUUCCUCUCUGCCUCCCUCUGCCUUGGUAGGAUCAGUGUUCGUUCAGUCAGUCAGUCAGUCAGUCAGUCAGUCAGUCAGUCAGUGAGUCAGUCAGUGUUUGGAGUUCAUGUGUUGUGACCAAGUGAGUUUGUGUUCUUUUGCACUUUGUCAAUAAACCUGCUGCACCUGAAGUCUCCCUUGUGUUGCAUUUGGCUCCUGUCUGCUUCCUGCAGUGUUAGCAUUUGGCUAACCUUUAGUCAGUCGCACAACUAAGAGGGGGAGAUUUGUAGUUGGUCAUUGUGUUGCCUGAGUCCAGAUUCUCUCAGGGGCUUAAAAGCAGGACUGUGUGUGUGUGUGUGUGUGUGAUAUAAAAGCUGAUUGAAUCUUUUGUCAGGUAGGGCGAGCUGCACUAUCCGUCCCUUUUCCCCUGAGUCUUAUUCUGACACUGU
Long non-coding RNA from Cynoglossus semilaevis (tongue sole), 4830 nucleotides. RefSeq lists it as uncharacterized. NCBI's taxonomy places the organism in Eukaryota, Metazoa, Chordata, Actinopteri, Pleuronectiformes, Cynoglossidae. The record is from RefSeq and is a predicted model, not a curated record. The transcript has 10 exons.